Molecule: long non-coding RNA, 751 nt
Filed under: Equus asinus (donkey)
Lineage: Eukaryota; Metazoa; Chordata; Mammalia; Perissodactyla; Equidae
Description: lncRNA (ENSEASG00005038202.1)
Source: RNAcentral
CUUAUUUUGUGUCAAGGUAAAAAUAUAGGGGAAGAGUGUUCCGGAAUUUUCUGGUCCGUCAAUGACUUAGUCUACCUACUAUCCUUAGUACACAGCAUUGUAGCAGAAUCACCACAGGAUUGUCCAGGGUCCUGGAGUGGGUUCCUGGAGAGUCCGUUCAAGUUAGUUGCACCUAAGCUCCACCACAGACCUGCCUGAUGACUCUGGAUAAAUAACCUCAGGACACGUUAGUUUCUCCAACUCUAAAAGGGAUCACACACACAUCUGUUCUGUUGUGCAGAAGAUAAGUGACAACUCUCAGCCACAAUCUGAAUCGUAAAAGAUUUCCUCUAGUCCUGAGACAACGAAACGGAAACGUGAGAAUUCAUCUCUGGAGUGCCUGGGCUCUUAUGAUCAGCAAGUUCACCUCCUCCUACCAAAGAAAAAUGGGAAGACAUAGAACAUAUUCUUCUAAGUUGUAAAAAGCAGACUGCCAUUUCUACCUCUUCCUCUUCCUUUUCUCUCAAAGACCGCCCCUCACACUCCCACAUGUCAGUUUGCUCUGCCAGCCCAGGCUCUCUGGGGUCCUGAAAUGUCACCUGUCAUGAGUGGGGCACUGGAUGGGAAGAGAAAACACAGGAUGCACUAAACAAAGAAAACAGACCAGCAACACACCUUCGAGAAGGUCGGGAACCUGAAGAUAAAGGAGGAAGGUGGAGAAAUGGAAGGACCAAAUAUGCCCCCAAAGGAUUAAAAGAUUGUGCAUAUCAAA